UAUGAGUCAAUAUAAUGCAACAGGGUGUU
This 29-nucleotide non-coding RNA is filed under the name Mus musculus (house mouse). The record is from RNAcentral. Lineage: Eukaryota; Metazoa; Chordata; Mammalia; Rodentia; Muridae.